GUUUUCUCUCUAACCACUACACUAAGCUGAGAGAGUUGUUUCUCUAACCACUAGGCUACACUGAGAGAGUUGUUUCGCUCUACGCUCUAACCACUAGACUACACUGAGAGAGUUGUUUCUCUAACCACUAGACUACACUGAGAGAGUUGUUUCUCUAACCACUAGACUACACUGAGAGAGUUGUUUCUCUAACCACUAGACUACACUGAGAGAGUUGUUUCUCUAACCACUAGACUACACUGAGAGUUUUGUUUCUCUAACCACUAGGCUACACUGAGAGUUGUUUCGCUCUACGCUCUAACCACUAGACUACACUGAGAGUUGUUUCGCUUUACGCUCUAACCACUAGACUAAGCUGAGAGAGUUGUUUCUCUAACCACUAGGCUACACUGAGAGAGUUGUUUCGCUUUACGCUCUAACCACUAGACUACACUGAGAGAGUUGUUUCGCUCUACGCUCUAACCACUAGACUAAGCUGAGAGAGUUGUUUCUCUAACCACUAGACUACACUGAGAUAGUUGUUUCGCUCUACGCUCUAACCACUAGACUACGCUGAGAGUUGUUUCUCUAACCACUAGACUACAGCUGAGAGAGUUGUUUCUCUAACCACUAGGCUACACUGAGAGAGUUGUUUCGCUUUACGCUCUAACCACUAGACUACGCUGAGAGUUGUUUCGCUUUACGCUCUAACCACUAGACUAAGCUGAGAUAGUUGUUUCGCUCUACGUUCUAACCACUAGACUACACUGAGAGUUGUUUCGCUCUACGCUCUAACCACUAGACUACACUGAGAUAGUUGUUUCGCUCUACGCUCUAACCACUAGACUACGCUGAGAGUUGUUUCUCUAACCACUAGACUACGCUGAGAGAGUUGUUUUGCUCUACACUCUAACCACUAGACUACGCUGAGAGUUGUUUCUCUAACCACUAGACUACACUGAGAGAGUUGUUUAUGUUCGUUGUUCUACUGUAAAUCUCCUAUGUUUGAUGUGUUGAAGAGAUAGUUGUUUCUCUAACCACUAGGCUACACUGUGAGAGUUGUUUCUCUAACCAAUAGGCUACACUGUGAGAGUUGUUUCUCUAACCACUAGACUACGCUGAGAGAGUUGUUUAGGUUCGUUGUUCUACUGUAAAUCUCCUAUGUUUGAUGUGUUGAAGAGAUAGUUGUUUCUCUAACCACUAGGCUACACUGAGAGUUGUUUCUCUAACCACUAGGCUACACUGAGAGUUGUUUCUCUAACCACUAGGCUACACUGAGUGUUGUUUCUCUAACCACUAGGCUACACUGUGAGAGUUGUUUCUCUAACCACUAGACUACACUGAGAGUUGUUUCUCUAACCACUAGGCUACACUGAGUGUUGUUUCUCUAACCACUAGGCUACACUGUGAGAGUUGUUUCUCUAACCACUAGACUACACUGAGAGUUGUUUCUCUAACCACUAGGCUACACUGAGUGUUGUUUCUCUAACCACUAGGCUACACUGAGUGUUGUUUCUCUAACCACUAGGCUACACUGAGAGUUGUUUCUCUAACCACUAGGCUACACUGAGAGUUGUUUCUCUAACCACUAGGCUACACUGAGUGUUGUUUCUCUAACCACUAGGCUACACUGUGAGAGUUGUUUCUCUAACCACUAGACUACACUGAGAGUUGUGUCUCACGUGCAGGUUAUUAUCAUAAUUUCAUGAGUGACGGAACUCUAAGCAGCAAAUGUAUUUUUAUAACAAAUAGCUGUUGAAUACCACAAAGUCACCUCACAUAUCCAGAUUAUAAUGUGUCAGCAAUAGCAAAUCAGGAACGAAAUGUAAUUAAUCAGGAGUACUCAGAUAUUUGAGCAAUUUAUUUAUUGAUCAUUGGUUGAUGAUCUGUGAUAAUCUGUUGUUGUACUGUUUGUGGUACAUGUUGAUCCGGCUUCUCUCUGUAUGAUAUAUAUAUAUAUAUAUAUAGUAAAGAUUUGUAAAUACUGUACCGAUCUCACGGGACAGAUCAUGUUUAUAUGUAUAACACUCUAAAUCAUGUUCUUCUAAAGACAUUGUUGAUUACAAGCAAACAACUAAGUAAAUGGUGAAGAAAACUGUACAUAACGAAUACUGUUAAAGGCAGCUCCUGUUAUCAAUGUGUAUUGUAUAUGUUCUUGUUGUUUUUGUUGUGAGGAUUUGGAAUGUACAUUAUUAAAUGAUUCCUCUAAACUGUCAACUAGAA
Oncorhynchus tshawytscha (Chinook salmon) is the source of this 2202-nucleotide long non-coding RNA. The record is from Ensembl. Lineage: Eukaryota; Metazoa; Chordata; Actinopteri; Salmoniformes; Salmonidae.